AGGCAGCAGUUGGGGAAUAUUGCACAAUGGGCGCAAGCCUGAUGCAGCCAGUGCCCGCGUGUAUGAAGUAAGGCCUUCGGGUUGUAAAGUACUUUCAGUCAGUGAGGAAGUGGGUAUGUUAAUAGCAUAUUCAUUUGACGUUAGCUGCAGAAGAAGCACCGGCUAACUCCCGUGCCAGCAGCCGCGGUAAUACGGAGGGUGCGAGCGUUAAUCGGAAUUACUGGGCGUAAAGCGCAUGCAGGUGGUUUGUUAAGUCAGAUGUGAAAGCCCGGGGCUCAACCUCGGAAUUGCAUUUGAAACUGGCAAACUAGAGUACUGUAGAGGGGGUAGAAUUUCAGGUGUAGCGGUGAAAUAGCGUAGAGAUCUGAAGGAAUACCGGUGGCGAAGGCGGCCCCCUGGACAGAUACUGACACUCAGAUGCGAAAGCGUGGGGAGCCAAACAGGAUUAGAUACCCUGGUAG
This 461-nucleotide ribosomal RNA is filed under the name uncultured bacterium. RNAcentral describes it as "bacterial SSU rRNA". It matches the Rfam family "Bacterial small subunit ribosomal RNA", at positions 346 to 793 of the family's 1533-position model. The record is from RNAcentral.